This 467-nucleotide ribosomal RNA is filed under the name uncultured bacterium. Its description in RNAcentral is "partial 16S ribosomal RNA". It matches the Rfam family "Bacterial small subunit ribosomal RNA", at positions 28 to 506 of the family's 1533-position model. The record is from RNAcentral.
GACGAACGCUGGCGGCGUGCUUAACACAUGCAAGUCGAACGGAAAGGCCCUGCUUUUGUGGGGUGCUCGAGUGGCGAACGGGUGAGUAACACGUGAGUAACCUGCCCUUGACUUUGGGAUAACUUCAGGAAACUGGGGCUAAUACCGGAUAGGAGCUCCUGCUGCAUGGUGGGGGUUGGAAAGUUUCGGCGGUUGGGGAUGGACUCGCGGCUUAUCAGCUUGUUGGUGGGGUAGUGGCUUACCAAGGCUUUGACGGGUAGCCGGCCUGAGAGGGUGACCGGCCACAUUGGGACUGAGAUACGGCCCAGACUCCUACGGGAGGCAGCAGUGGGGAAUAUUGCACAAGGGGCGGAAGCCUGAUGCAGCAACGCCGCGUGCGGGAUGACGGCCUUCGGGUUGUAAACCGCUUUCGCCUGUGACGAAGCGUGAGGGACGGUAAUGGGUAAAGAGGCACCGGCUAACUACGU